GACGAACGCUGGCGGCGUGCCUAAUACAUGCAAGUAGAACGCUGAAGGAGGAGCUUGCUUCUCUGGAUGAGUUGCGAACGGGUGAGUAACGCGUAGGUAACCUGCCUGGUAGCGGGGGAUAACUAUUGGAAACGAUGGCUAAUACCGCAUAAUAGUAGAUGUUGCAUGACAUUUGCUUAAAAGGUGCAAUUGCAUCACUACCAGAUGGACCUGCGUUGUAUUAGCUAGUUGGUGAGGUAACGGCUCACCAAGGCAACGAUACAUAGCCGACCUGAGAGGGUGAUCGGCCACACUGGGACUGAGACACGGCCCAGACUCCUACGGGAGGCAGCAGUAGGGAAUCUUCGGCAAUGGACGGAAGUCUGACCGAGCAACGCCGCGUGAGUGAAGAAGGUUUUCGGAUCGUAAAGCUCUGUUGUAAGAGAAGAACGAGUGUGAGAGUGGAAAGUUCACACUGUGACGGUAUCUUACCAGAAAGGGACGGCUAACUACGUG
Molecule: ribosomal RNA, 495 nt
Filed under: uncultured bacterium
Lineage: Bacteria
Description: partial 16S ribosomal RNA
Rfam family: Bacterial small subunit ribosomal RNA
Source: RNAcentral